UAGGGAAUCUUCCGCAAUGGACGCAAGUCUGACGGAGCAACGCCGCGUGAGUGAAGAAGGAUUUCGGUUCGUAAAACUCUGUUGUUAGAGAAGAACAGCGCAUAGAGUAACUGUUAUGCGUGUGACGGUAUCUAACCAGAAAGCCACGGCUAACUACGUGCCAGCAGCCGCGGUAAUACGUAGGUCCCGAGCGUUGUCCGGAUUUAUUGGGCGUAAAGCGAGCGCAGGCGGUUAGAUAAGUCUGAAGUGAAAGGCAGUGGCUCAACCAUUGUAGGCUUUGGAAACUGUUUAACUUGAGUGCAGAAGGGGAGAGUGGAAUUCCAUGUGUAGCGGUGAAAUGCGUAGAUAUAUGGAGGAACACCGGUGGCGAAAGCGGCUCUCUGGUCUGUAACUGACGCUGAGGCUCGAAAGCGUGGGGAGCGAACAGG
RNAcentral lists this ribosomal RNA (428 nucleotides) under Bacteroidota bacterium. RNAcentral describes it as "Bacteroidetes bacterium partial 16S ribosomal RNA". It matches the Rfam family "Bacterial small subunit ribosomal RNA", at positions 355 to 776 of the family's 1533-position model. Lineage: Bacteria; Pseudomonadati; Bacteroidota. The record is from RNAcentral.